UACGGAGGGUGCAAGCGUUGUUCGGAAUCAUUGGGCGUAAAGCGCGUGUAGGCGGCUUGGUAAGUCGGGUGUGAAAUCCCGGGGCCCAACCCCGGAACUGCAUUCGAAACUGCCUCGCUAGAGUCCCGGAGAGGUAGGCGGAAUUGACGGUGUAGCGGUGAAAUGCUUAGAUAUCGUCAAGAACACCUAUAGCGAAGGCAGCUUACUAGGCUGUAACUGACGCUGAGGCACGAAAGUGUGGGGAUCAAACAGG
This 253-nucleotide ribosomal RNA is filed under the name uncultured bacterium. RNAcentral describes it as "partial 16S ribosomal RNA". It matches the Rfam family "Bacterial small subunit ribosomal RNA", at positions 524 to 776 of the family's 1533-position model. The record is from RNAcentral.